This 454-nucleotide ribosomal RNA is filed under the name uncultured bacterium. RNAcentral describes it as "bacterial SSU rRNA". It matches the Rfam family "Bacterial small subunit ribosomal RNA", at positions 340 to 786 of the family's 1533-position model. The record is from RNAcentral.
UACGGAAGGCAGCAGGGGGGAAUAUUGCACAAUGGGCGCAAGCCUGAUGCAGCCAUGCCGCGUGUAUGAAGAAGGCCUUUCGGGUUGUAAAGUACUUUCAGUCGUGAGGAAGGUGUUAAGGUUAAUAACCUUAGCAAUUGACGUUAGCGACAGAAGAAGCACCGGCUAACUCCGUGCCAGCAGCCGCGGUAAUACGGAGGGUGCGAGCGUUAAUCGGAAUUACUGGGCGUAAAGGGCACGCAGGCGGUUAAUUAAGUUGGAUGUGAAAUCCCCGGGCUUAACCUGGGAAUGGCAUUCAAGACUGGUUAGCUAGAGUCUUGUAGAGGGGGUAGAAUUCCAUGUGUAGCGGUGAAAUGCGUAGAGAUGUGGAGGAAUACCGGUGGCGAAGGCGGCCCCUGGACAAAGACUGACGCUCAUGUGCGAAAGCGUGGGGAGCAAACAGGGAUUAGAUACC